RNAcentral lists this transfer RNA (69 nucleotides) under Trichonephila inaurata madagascariensis. RNAcentral describes it as "tRNA-Asp". The record is from RNAcentral. Lineage: Eukaryota; Metazoa; Arthropoda; Arachnida; Araneae; Nephilidae.
UCCUCGGUAGUAUAGUGGUCAGUAUCCCCGCCUGUCACGCGGGAGACCGUUCGUUUCCCCGCCGGGGAG